AUUGAACGCUGGCGGCAUGCCUUACACAUGCAAGUCGAACGGCAGCAUGGAGAGCUUGCUCUCUGAUGGCGAGUGGCGAACGGGUGAGUAAAGCAUCGGAACGUACCGUGUAGUGGGGGAUAACGUAGCGAAAGUUACGCUAAUACCGCAUACGCACUGAGGUGGAAAGCAGGGGAUAGCAAGACCUUGCGCGAUACGAGCGGCCGAUGUCCGAUUAGCUAGUUGGUAGGGUAAAGGCCUACCAAGGCGACGAUCGGUAGCGGGUCUGAGAGGAUGAUCCGCCACACUGGGACUGAGACACGGCCCAGACUCCUACGGGAGGCAGCAGUGGGGAAUUUUGGACAAUGGGGGCAACCCUGAUCCAGCCAUGCCGCGUGAGUGAAGAAGGCCUUCGGGUUGUAAAGCUCUUUCGGCCGGGAAGAAAUCGCACAGGCUAAUACUCUGUGUGGAUGACGGUACCGGCAUAAGAAGCACCGGCUAACUACGUGCCAGCCGCCGCAGUAA
This 504-nucleotide ribosomal RNA is filed under the name uncultured bacterium. RNAcentral's name for it is "partial 16S ribosomal RNA". It matches the Rfam family "Bacterial small subunit ribosomal RNA", at positions 29 to 523 of the family's 1533-position model. The record is from RNAcentral.